UAUGCUGCUGGUUGUGUUGAUUUUUCUCUGGUUCUUGAUUGUCGAAACAGGGAAUAUGUUGAUUCAGGGAGUUGGCUUCGGGCUCUUCUUUUCUUUGGGUAUAAUGUUGAACGUUGAUGGAAUUGAAGAGAGAUUUUGUGACCCACAUGUAUAUGAAAUUCAUUUGUGUUCGGUUCUAUUUGAAUGAUGAUUUUGAACCCCAUAUCUCCAUUAUUUUAUGCUGAUAGCAUGGGUUUCAUAUUUGAAAGGCGUAUGAAAAGUUAAAUAAUAUGAUUAUGAAUAUUAAAUGAUGCUAUAUGAUGUUUUGGAGUGAAGGCCGUGAGGUUCAAUGAAAAACGGAGUUGUUAUUGUUUUGUUCUGGUUAAAUGGUUUUAGCUUCUGGAUUGGAGAGAAGCAAAGUGAGUUUGAAAGCAAUGAGUUUGAAUUUGAAUGCUACAUAGAUUGGGAAGUGAUUUUUUUUUUUAAAUCUGGAAUUUUAAUAAGGGAAGGAAUUGUUGAAUUGGGGAACCAAAAUUUGAUUUGGAGUUUAUUGUUUUGUGUUCUCAAAUGCUGAAUAUUAUUUUAGUUAGUGGAUCAGUCUUACUGUGAGCAAUGGUUAAACUUUAUUACAGUAAAAUGAGAAUUUUAGAGGGAAAAAAGAUAUGUAGACAUUGCGAAAUGGAGGGAUGUUAAUGUUGGGUGAUUUAAUAUUGUGUGUGUGUAAGGUAUUUUCGGUCAAGGGGGUUUCAAGAGGAAAUAUAAUUUUAAAAUGGGGACAUUAAAACAGCUGAUGGCAUGAUGUUUAUGAAGCUGGAAUUUCAUGGAAGUAUGGAAGAAAUGCCGUUGCUAUUAUAAAUUUUAAGGACAUUGAAAAUAUAUAUAUUCAACGGUGCUGAUUCGUUGUUGGAAGACUUGGAAUAAAUGAUCUAGUUACAUAUACAUGUCUCGGCCUAUGUAGAAAAUUAGGGAAGGUACUGGAAGUUUGUCCUAAGAAGCUUAAAAAAAAAAAAAGAAUUCUUCAAGUCAAGAGAGAAAGAUAAGGAAAACAAGUUAUGAAGUGUAAGGGAAAUUGACAAACUUUGUUUGAUUGAUUAUAAGGAAUUUUAAUUCAUAAUGAAUAUGUUUAUCAGUGAAAUAGAUAAGCAUUUAUGUACAUAUAUAUAUUUAUGUUAAUCUACCAUUGUCUAUAUAAUUUAUAAGAUUUGAUAUUUGUUUGAGUUCGUUAAGGAAAGAGCCAAGAAGCAAGUAAGGGGAAGGCAAUACGGAAGAAAGAGCAAAAGGAAGAGCAAGUACUUCUAAGAGCAAGGGAGUAGUAAUUGGUGGAACUUGAAGAUGAAGAGAGUUGGAGAAUUAUUAUGUAUUUUGUUUAAAUAUGCUUACUAUAUUUUGGUCUUCUAGAUUGAAGAUUUAAAUGUAUGUGUGUAUAUUUUGGUUUGUAAAUAUUCUUCCAUAAGGAGGAGUCUAAGGUCAGAUAAACUAUAGGUAACUGCCAUUGACAGAAAUAGCCUGUAUGCUGAUAUAUAGUUAUGAUUACGAUC
This is a long non-coding RNA of Neltuma alba, 1517 nucleotides long. RefSeq lists it as uncharacterized. Lineage: Eukaryota; Viridiplantae; Streptophyta; Magnoliopsida; Fabales; Fabaceae. The record is from RefSeq and is a predicted model, not a curated record. The transcript has 2 exons.